CGGAAAGUAGUAGCAAUAUUACUUUUAGCGGCGAACGGGUGAGUAAUACUUAUCUUACUUGCCAAUUAGUGGGGGAUAACCAUGGGAAACCAUGGCUAAUACCGCAUUUGUUACUUAGUAAUGAAAGGGGGUCGCAAGACUUUCGCUAAUUGAUAGGGAUAAGCCGUAUUAGUUAGUUGGUAGGGUAAUGGCCUACCAAGACAAUGAUGCGUAGUCAGCCUGAGAGGGUGAAUGGCCACAAGGGAACUGAGACACGGUCCCUACUCCUACGGGAGGCAGCAGUGAGGAAUUUUCGGCAAUGGGGGAAACCCUGACCGAGCAAUACUACGCGAAGGAGGAAGGUCUACGGA
RNAcentral lists this ribosomal RNA (350 nucleotides) under uncultured bacterium. RNAcentral's name for it is "bacterial SSU rRNA". It matches the Rfam family "Bacterial small subunit ribosomal RNA", at positions 67 to 422 of the family's 1533-position model. The record is from RNAcentral.